RNAcentral lists this ribosomal RNA (302 nucleotides) under uncultured bacterium. RNAcentral's name for it is "partial 16S ribosomal RNA". It matches the Rfam family "Bacterial small subunit ribosomal RNA", at positions 508 to 807 of the family's 1533-position model. The record is from RNAcentral.
GCAGCAGCCGCGGUAAUACAGAGGGUGCGAGCGUUAAUCGGAUUUACUGGGCGUAAAGCGUGCGUAGGCGGCUUUUUAAGUCGGAUGUGAAAUUCCUGAGCUUAACUUAGGAAUUGCAUUCGAUACUGGGAAGCUAGAGUAUGGGAGAGGAUGGUAGAAUUCCAGGUGUAGCGGUGAAAUGCGUAGAGAUCUGGAGGAAUACCGAUGGCGAAGGCAGCCAUCUGGCCUAAUACUGACGCUGAGGUACGAAAGCAUGGGGAGCAAACAGGAUUAGAUACCCCAGUAGUCCCUGUCUCUUAUAC